RNAcentral lists this ribosomal RNA (253 nucleotides) under uncultured bacterium. Its description in RNAcentral is "partial 16S ribosomal RNA". It matches the Rfam family "Bacterial small subunit ribosomal RNA", at positions 524 to 776 of the family's 1533-position model. The record is from RNAcentral.
UACGUAGGUGGCAAGCGUUACUCGGAAUCACUAGGCGUAAAGCGCAGGUAGGAGGUUUGGUAAGUCUAUUGUGAAAGCUCCCGGCUUAACUGGGAGAGGUCAAUGGAAACUACUAGGCUAGAGUGCGGUAGAGGUAGCUGGAAUUCCCGGUGUAGCGGUGAAAUGCGUAGAUAUCGGGAGGAAUACCUAUGGCGAAAGCAGGCUACUGGACCGUCACUGACUCUGAUCUGCGAAAGCUAGGGGAGCAAACAGG